CUCUUCGCCAGAGCUGAGUUGCGGCGGACUGGGCGCAACACAGCAGAGCCCGGCCCGCGAGCCCUCGCGUGCCCGGGUCCGUCGGGUGCCGCGGCGCCUCCCCCAGGGAGUCCCCGCGCUGCUGCACCCCGCGUUUCCCGCAGCGGCUGGGGGCUUCGGACGUGCGGGCCGAGAGCCCGAGGCAAGCGUCCCCAGAGACCACCGUGGGCUUCAUGGCUGGAGCGGAACCGGUGAGUUGAACCCGAGUCAGGCAGCUUAUUUAGGGCGCGAAGUUCCUAGUUAGUACAGCGGCACAGCCAUGAGUAACAGCAGCACCCUCAUGGACCUUUACGGGCACCUCCGUUCUCUCCUCCUGCCGGAGGGGGAAGGGGCGCCCGAGGCGAACCCCGAUGGUGAACCCGAUCCGGUUACGAGUACCUGGGCGCCGAGCCUGUCGGGCACCAUCUCUGAUGUGACCCCUACUCCAUCGCCCACUUGGAACACAACCCCGGAUCUUGCCCUGGGCUGCGGGGAACAGAUCAACUAUGGCAGAACUGAGAAAGUUGUGAUCGGUGCCAUCCUGGCACUCAUCACGCUUCUGACGAUCGCGGGCAACUGCCUGGUGGUAAUCUCCGUGUGCUUCGUCAAGAAGCUCCGCCAGCCCUCCAACUACCUGAUAGUGUCCCUUGCACUGGCCGACCUCUCGGUGGCCGUGGCGGUGAUGCCCUUUGUCAGUGUCACCGACCUCAUCGGGGGCAAGUGGAUAUUUGGCCACUUCUUUUGCAACGUCUUCAUUGCCAUGGACGUCAUGUGCUGCACGGCCUCAAUUAUGACUCUGUGCGUGAUCAGCAUCGACAGGUACCUUGGGAUCACCCGCCCUCUCACCUACCCUGUGAGGCAGAAUGGGAAAUGCAUGGCAAAGAUGAUUCUGUCUGUCUGGCUGCUGUCUGCCUCCAUCACUCUCCCCCCACUCUUCGGAUGGGCCCAGAACGUGAACGACAACAAGGUCUGCCUCAUCAGCCAGGAUUUCGGCUACACCAUCUACUCCACCGCCGUGGCCUUUUACAUCCCCAUGUCCGUCAUGCUGUUCAUGUACUACCAGAUCUACAAGGCUGCCAAGAAGAGCGCUGCCAAGCACCGCUUCCCUGGCUUCUCCCGCACCCAGCCCGAGAGCGUCAUCUCCCUGAAUGGCGUGGUGAAGGCCCAGAAGGAGGUGGAAGAGUGUGCAAAUCUGUCCAGACUGAUCAAGCAUGAGAGGAAGAACAUCUCCAUCUUCAAGAGAGAGCAGAAGGCAGCCACUACCCUGGGGAUCAUCGUCGGAGCCUUCACCGUGUGCUGGCUACCCUUUUUCGUGCUCUCAACGGCCAGGCCCUUCAUCUGUGGCACCUCCUGCAGCUGCAUCCCGCUGUGGGUGGAAAGGACCUGUCUGUGGCUGGGCUAUGCCAACUCCCUCAUCAACCCCUUCAUCUACGCCUUCUUCAACCGAGACCUGAGGACGACCUACCGCAGCCUGCUCCGCUGCCAGUACCGUAACAUCAACCGGAAGCUCUCGGCUGCUGGUAUGCACGAGGCCCUGAGGCUGGCAGAGAGACCUGAGAAGCCGGAAUUCAUCCUGUAAGGGCUCUGAAUGCUGCCACGACGGAUUCAAGUUUUUGUACAGCAUGCGCAUCAUGGUGGAGCAAGUCGGGCUGACCACCUGUGCAGCAUGGCAAAGCCAAGUUGAGCAGUCCUGCAAGCGCACCCUGGCAGUGCCAAGUUGGUCAGCCUGGUGCGUGCAUCCUGGCGGAGUGGGUCAGCCUGUGGAAUAAUAAAUGAACUAAAGCCUGCAGAAGUUAAAGGAACACGUUCAAGGUUGCACAGCUAAUAAUGGUAGGAUUUGAACCCAGGUUCAGGCAAGGGAGACAGUCUCAUCUACAAUCUAUUGGGAGUCGGAAGAUAUCAGGUUCCACUAAUGAUUUUCCAUCCCUCCAUAUGUCUUAUUGGGGAUACACACCUGGAUCUCUCUGUUGUCAUGCAACUACUGUGAUCAUGAAAAUAGCAACUCUAUUUUCCUUGAUAUGCUAUGAUGGAAGACAAGAGUCCAGCACCAGCCAAACCAGACCCAAGGAGGAAGCAGCCCGGUGCCAGCCAAGUAGACCGGAGGAGGAAUCACCCCGGCGCCAACCCAGACCGGAGGAGGAAGCCCGGCCCGCCCCAUGUGCUAGUCCAGAGGAAGUCCAUCAACCCUUAAAAUUCAUCAAAGGGGGUGUGGCUACCAGCAUGGUUCUAUGGCUGAUCCAGUAAAAUCUACAGGGAAAACCAAGAUAUAAUUGGAAGAUUGCAUAGCAUGAUGUGGUCAACUGAGUAAGUUCCAAACCUGUCCAUUUCCUCAUUCCUGAACCUGUGUUUCUUUAGUUGUUAAAAGAGAUUUUUCAGAUGUGAUUAAGAUCUUGAGAUUGGGAGAUUUCUACCUAAUUUAUUUAGGUGGGUUUUUUGUAAUCACAGGGGUUCUUGUAAGAGGGACAGGAGAUCAAAUUAGAAGAAGGCAAUGUAAAACAAAAGCAAAGAUUGGGGUGCAGUGACGACAACCCAAGAAAUGCUGGCAGCCAACAGAAUCCAGAAGAGGCAAAGAAGGGAUUUUCCCAUGAAACCACCAGGAAAAAAACCAAAAAACAUCCUGCUGCUGUUUCAAUUUUAUUCUGUUUUCCAGAACUGUAACAUAAUCUAUUUGUGUUAGAAACGUCUAAUUUAUGGAAAUUUAUACUAAUGGAAGACUAUACACUUGAGAUCAAUAAAAGAAAUAGAAAUGAAAUAGUUAAUGAAAUUGGCUCUUGAUAGUUUGAUUUAUUCACAUAAUAAUAGGGAUGUACAAUUAAAGUCUACUGGAUACAACCACAUAAAAUGUGAAUACACUAUUUUCACCUGACUUUUCGAAGUUCUUUUAAAUUCUACUUUGGCAGAUCUAUCCAUUCCUAAUUGUCAUGAUCUUGCCUUAAAUGUCCACUCUAUUCAUAUAGGUCUCAAGUAAGUUGUACUUUUAUGAUAACAGUUCUAUCUUUGUGGGUUUGAUUUUUCAUAAUUUAAUUUUGAUCGAUUUUAUUUUGAUUUAAAAUUUCACUCUCUGAGGUCAAACUAAUUUCCAUUCUUUCCAAGUGAUUUGGUAGGCCCUUAUUCUGGACUCCAAACACCCAGGCUACUUUACAAGCCAGAUGUUCAUAUUCAAACACAGAAAACAUUUACUGAACUGCAAAAUAUCUUAUUCAACAGGUAAAAUAGAAAGCUUGGACCCUAAUAGCUAUCUAGGUAAUAUUUAUGCAGAUAAGGCAGCAAUAAACAUUUAUUUAGUUAAAUAUGAAUAUCCCUUUUUUCUUAUUUUUACUGUUACAAUGUAAUAAAUUUUACAAUAAAGAUAAAACAAAAAUUUUCUAUUGCUCAUUAGUGUUGCCUUUGUAAUUGUGACAUCAUUCCUAUUUUUGUCAUAAUUUAAUUUUUUGACAUGUAAAAACUGCAUGUGUAUAUAUAUGUAAGGUUAAAAUUUGAGGUUUGGUUAUACAUUGUGAAAUGAUCACUGCAUUCCAGCUAAUUCACAUAUCUACAUAGUUAUCAUUUUCUCUACCUUAAAUGAGGAGAAUUUACAACAAAAAUUUGAAGCAUAUAAUGUUAUGUGUUCAAUCCCAUAACUUUCUGUUGUUGUACAAUGGAGUGUUAAAAAUGUUAUUAAACACAAACUCCUUAGAAAAUUUACAGAAAUGCCUGAUAAAAUAAUUAUACUGACAAUGCCAAAGCUCUGUAGUUUGUGUAUAUAUACUGUGUGUGUGUUCAUUAGUGUCCCAAAGUAGACUCAACUGCUUCCUUUAUUGCUAGAUUCUUAUAUUUCUUUGUAUAAUCUCUGAAUUUUAAUUGUGUUCUUUUCAAAAUGUAUUUGCAUUUUUAAACUUGUUUUGUUUUUCCAAAAGAGUAAAAUGAAAGAUCUUUUAAGCAGAGAGCUUCCAAUGUAGGUAAAACUGUGAGGAGGAGAAGCAUAAGAACUUUUGUAUAUGUUAAAGAUUAUUCAUGGAGAGGGAGGGGUCUUUUAGUAAUAACUUCUGAUUAUGAGGAGCAGUCUCAAAGUUGAGAGAUUAGCAAAGAGGACUUGAAAAACAGUCUGGACCUCAGAAGGAAAAAUUGCAAUUAGAGAGAGAGACUUUAUUUAUAUGUUUGUUCGUUUCUUAGAAGCAAGCCAAGGAGGAUGAGAAAUAGAGGCAGGCUGUGCAGCCUGAAGUCAGUCUAGUACCAUGGAGAGCACCUGGGAGAGGUUGGGAGAAACCUAAGCCAAAUGCUAUGGAUCAGUUUCAGGGAGUGGUGUUAGGGCUGGCUCAGAGGAGUCAAAACCAAUCUUUUCUAUCAUUGAAGUAAAUACUAUUUGUCAGGCUCAGUAACUAGACCAUGGAUUCUUAGAGGUUCAGAAACAGGCAUCUAUGGAUAAACUAGACAAUAUGCAAGUUCCUGAAACUGUUUACAAAACAUGUACAAGUGUGUUUGUAACAUUUUCUAGGAGUUGAUUUUCAAUAACUUAGAUAAAAAUUUUCUCAGUCGUCAAAAUCUCCAUACUAAGACUCCCAAUUCUAGGCUAAGAGGUAGCUUAUGUGCAUGAAGGCAGCAUUAGUCUGUUAAAAGGCAUGUGAUUAAGGUUGGGCUGGUGCUUGGUGGCAGUCCAAGAAGUUUAGUACCUUUUAAAAACUAAAUUCAAUUUCAGCAUUUAUGAAACCACAUGCCCACAGCAGGCAUUUAAAUUGUAACUGAAUUGUGCCAACUCAGUUCAUUGAAUUGGUAUAGAAAUACAUUGAAUUGUAUAGAAAUACAUCAGAAAAGCCUUAUUAAAAUUACAGAUCUGUGAGAAAGUCUGGGGUGGUUCUUUGGAAUCUAUAAUUUUACAAACUUUCUGUGAUGUACUACUCAAAGAGGAAAGAAUAGGGACAUUAACAUCAUUCAGGAACUUGUUAGAAAUACAAAAUCUGUGAAUCACCCCUAAACUCAGACCUACUGACUCAGAAUAUGCAUUUUGACAUGAUUACUAGGUGCUUUGUAUGUUCACCAAUGUUUCUGCAGAAGUUUCACUAAAGCUUGAGAAGUAAUUCAGUGAA
Non-coding RNA from Ictidomys tridecemlineatus (thirteen-lined ground squirrel), 5081 nucleotides. The record is from RefSeq and is a predicted model, not a curated record. NCBI's taxonomy places the organism in Eukaryota, Metazoa, Chordata, Mammalia, Rodentia, Sciuridae.